Long non-coding RNA from Globicephala melas (long-finned pilot whale), 735 nucleotides. RefSeq lists it as uncharacterized. The record is from RefSeq and is a predicted model, not a curated record. NCBI's taxonomy places the organism in Eukaryota, Metazoa, Chordata, Mammalia, Artiodactyla, Delphinidae.
CAGGAUCCAGUGCAACUUUUUCUUCUUGGGCACCCAGCGAAGCGAAUCAACUUACUCCUCCAGAGGUUCCUUGGGAUUGCCAGAUAAAUGAAGUGAAGCUCCCUGAGGUGAAGUGGGUAAAGUAAGCAGGACCUAAACUAGGAAACAGGUCUCAAACUAUGCUGUCUGCAAUGAGGGGUGUUGUUGGCUGGAAUACUCUACCACUUCAUUAGCACAGGCUCCGGACGUGCAGGCUCAGCGGCCAUGGCUCACGGGCCCAGCCGCUCCGCGGCAUGUGGGAUCUUCCCGAACCGGGGCACGAACCCGUGUCCCCUGCAUCGGCAGGCAGACUCUCAACCACUGCGCCACCAGGGAAGCCCCUACCGGCAUUUUUUUAAAUGAAGCUAAAAAGAAAGUGACCCUUAGCAUGGUCAAGCAACUUUCCCAGGAUAACAUGGCUACUGGACAAUGGAGCAAGAUUUUGGCCUGACCUCCCACACUAUUAACCACUCUGCCACGGGAGCAGGAAAAUGGGUACUCCACUCACAUGCUGUGCUCUAAGCAUAUCAGUUGGUAGACGCUUUCUGGAAGGCUUUGACUCCAACCUCUGAAAAUGCUUCAAUUCAAUGAAGCUAAUGGCACUUUGGUCUCCAGCAUUAGAUCCUGUUAUCAAUGACUUCCACAUGGAAAGAUUAUUCCAAAAUGUGUGAUUAACCAAGAAAAUGCAAAUAAACCAAUUUGUACCUGCUAUUUAGA